GUGUAGCGGCUGUCUGUGACCUAGCGGCACUAAGGGAGAUGGAGGGCUUCUCGGCCUUGCAUCACUUGAGUCAUGUGUGCUGAAGUCGGGUCCGACCCAAGCUGGGUGUCAACAUAGUCCACUCUACGGAAGUAGAGCGGCCUCGGUUGACUAAGGAGGGGGGGAACGCGUCAGGCCGGAAACGGAACAGCGAGAACCCGCCGCACUCGGCAGUGG
RNAcentral lists this signal recognition particle RNA (216 nucleotides) under Calcidiscus leptoporus. RNAcentral describes it as "partial Metazoan signal recognition particle RNA". It matches the Rfam family "Metazoan signal recognition particle RNA", at positions 9 to 234 of the family's 299-position model. From Rfam's summary of the family: The signal recognition particle (SRP) is a universally conserved ribonucleoprotein. It is involved in the co-translational targeting of proteins to membranes. The eukaryotic SRP consists of a 300-nucleotide 7S RNA and six proteins: SRPs 72, 68, 54, 19, 14, and 9. Lineage: Eukaryota; Haptophyta; Coccolithales; Calcidiscaceae. The record is from RNAcentral.